Molecule: ribosomal RNA, 465 nt
Filed under: uncultured bacterium
Lineage: Bacteria
Description: partial 16S ribosomal RNA
Rfam family: Bacterial small subunit ribosomal RNA
Source: RNAcentral
GACGAACGCUGGCGGCGUGCUUAACACAUGCAAGUCGAACGGAAAGGCCCCUUUGGGGGUACUCGAGUGGCGAACGGGUGAGUAACACGUGAGUAACCUGCCCUUGACUUCGGGAUAACUUCAGGAAACUGGGGCUAAUACCGGAUAGGAAUCCUUGCUGCAUGGUGGGGGUUGGAAAGCUUCGGCGGUUUUGGAUGGACUCGCGGCUUAUCAGCUUGUUGGUGGGGUAGUGGCUUACCAAGGCUUUGACGGGUAGCCGGCCUGAGAGGGCGACCGGCCACAUUGGGACUGAGAUACGGCCCAGACUCCUACGGGAGGCAGCAGUGGGGAAUAUUGCACAAUGGGCGGAAGCCUGAUGCAGCAACGCCGCGUGCGGGAUGACGGCCUUCGGGUUGUAAACCGCUUUCAGCAGGGGCGAAGCUUGUGGUGACGGUACCUGCAGAAAAAGCACCGGCUAACUACGUG